GAAUGGUCUUUAUGCGGCGGCUCACAACUCACCCAUCCCAACCAGUUACAGAUUUCUUUGCUGCUUCUCCACUCCCACCGCUUCACUUGACAAGCCUUUG
Molecule: small RNA, 100 nt
Filed under: Nomascus leucogenys (northern white-cheeked gibbon)
Lineage: Eukaryota; Metazoa; Chordata; Mammalia; Primates; Hylobatidae
Description: Y RNA (ENSNLEG00000035978.1)
Source: RNAcentral